Molecule: long non-coding RNA, 1024 nt
Filed under: Marmota monax (woodchuck)
Lineage: Eukaryota; Metazoa; Chordata; Mammalia; Rodentia; Sciuridae
Source: RNAcentral
GUUUAAUGCUUUUGCUACUCAUUACAAUAAUUUUGCUCCUGAGGAUUGGAAGAUUGUGAGCCAUGCUCUUUUACAGGAACCUAAAUAUCUUCAAUGGCACAUGUGGUUUUUAGAAGGAUGUGCCACUAAGGAUAGAGAAAAUGGUAACAGUCAAAACCCUGUUAUUCGUGCCAUAGGAUACCCUAUGUUAUCUGGCACUGGUAUGUAUGAUGACAUUCAACAUAAAAUUAAUAUUCCUCCUGAGAUUCAUGAGCAAUUGAAGGAAAUAGCUUUAGAAGUUUGGGACAAAAUUAGACCUUGUUAUUGCUCCAGUACAUAGGAAUUAUGUAAAGUGUUAAAGCAACUGUAUAUGUUUAAAUUGUGUGUGUUAAAGAUUAAAAAAAAAAAGAUAAUAGUUAUUUUUCCUAAAUGAAAUAACAUUCUUCUCUCCACCAAAUUUUUUUCUAAAGUUAAUGGCAUUUGGGUCAAGGUUUUAUUAAAAGCUACAUUUUAUAACACUGGCACAAAAAAAGUAGUUUUAAGCUUGUUUGCACAGUUCUUUUUUUCCAUUGGAAAUGGAAUUCAUUGCCUUAGUUCUUUUUAAAUAGUGUAUUAUCGUUGGGGCUAACUCUAUGCUUAAAAACCAGUUUAUUUAUAACCUGUUGUAAGUGCUAUAUUCUGUUUACAGUUAGGAAAUGCAAAAUUUUAAGUGAUCUCGUAGCUUGUAAGCAAACUGAGAUGCACUAUCCCUUUUCUAUAUAAAAAUAAGUUAAUAUAUCAAUAAAUCAACUCAACAAGGUGGGUUUAAUAUUACCCUUUCCUAUGUGUUUUAUCUAAUUCUUUUAAUUGUUAAUAUGGUGAUAAAUGAAAGUCAAGGUAAAUUUUAAAUAUUAAGAUUUCCAAUUUAUUGAACUUGAAUUAUGCCACCAUGCUUAUGUAAAAAUGAAGGUGGCACCAUGGUAAAACUUAAUGAGAAGUAAUUUCUCAGUUGUAAUAAUUUUGAUUUCUCUUUCUUGUGAUCUCUCCUUCCCUGUUGUCUUGAACC